GGCCCCAUCGUCUAGAGGCCUAGGACACCGCCCUUUCACGGCGGCGACAUGGGUUCGAAUCCCAUUGGGGUCA
RNAcentral lists this transfer RNA (73 nucleotides) under Burkholderiales bacterium. Its description in RNAcentral is "tRNA-Glu". It matches the Rfam family "tRNA". Rfam says of the family: Transfer RNA (tRNA) molecules are approximately 80 nucleotides in length. Their secondary structure includes four short double-helical elements and three loops (D, anti-codon, and T loops). Lineage: Bacteria; Pseudomonadati; Pseudomonadota; Betaproteobacteria; Burkholderiales. The record is from RNAcentral. RNAcentral also lists the same sequence under 3 other names.